RNAcentral lists this ribosomal RNA (131 nucleotides) under uncultured bacterium. RNAcentral describes it as "partial 16S ribosomal RNA". It matches the Rfam family "Bacterial small subunit ribosomal RNA", at positions 355 to 483 of the family's 1533-position model. The record is from RNAcentral.
UAGGGAAUAUUGGGCAAUGGGCGCAAGCCUGACCCAGCCAUGCCGCGUGCAGGAUGAAGGCGCUCAGCGUCGUAAACUGCUUUUAUCGGUGAAGAAUGUUAUCCCCGCGGGGGUAGUUGACGGUAGCCGAG